CCACCAGGAUACUGCUGCUUACUUCUAGAAUCUUAAACUCUACCAUGUCGUGGCUGCUGCAGCCAAGGUGCCCAGGUGACCAAAAAGGCCAGUAACAUCCUGGCCUGUAACAGUGUGGCUAGCAGGUCUAGAGAAGUGAUUGUCCCUUUGUAUGAAGCACAGGUGAGACUGCAUUUUGAAUACUGUGUUCAGUUUGGGGCCCAUCAUUACAAGAAGGACACGGAGUUGCUCGAGCAUGUGCAGAGAACAGCAAUGAAACUGGUAAAGGGACUAGAAAACAGGACUUACACUCCUUGUGACUGAGGAAAUGGGACUGUUUCAUCUGGAGAAAAGGAGGGUGAGGGGAGACUUCAUCACUCUCUACAGCUACCUGAAAAGGAGGUUGCAGCAAAGUGGGUAUUGGUCUCUUUUCUAAGGUGACACAUGGUAGGGCAAGAGGAAAUGAUCGCAGGUUGCACCAGGGAAGGUUUAGAUUGGAUGCUAGGAAUAAUUUAUUCAUGGAGAGGGUGAGCAAGCAUUGGAACAGGCUGCCCCACUGGUUUAAUAAUGAGACUUGUUAGGUAGGUCAGGUUGAUGGUUGGAUUUGGUGAUCUUGAAGGUCUUUUCCAACCUAAUUGAUUCUAUGAUUUUUGAUACUCUAAAGGUAUCAUUUGACAGCUUGGUUUGAAUCUAUAUGGAUGAGCAGUGGGAGCACUGAAGGUAGUAAACAUGGUUGGGGGUAAUGGCCUCUGUUCUUACAAGAACAAGUCCCUAACCACUUUGAUUAAAUUAGUAUCAGCAUUAAUGUUGUAACAAUACUGUUCACAGAUUCCAAUAGUAUAUUGUUCCUAUAUUCAGACUUCCUAAUGAUGAGCCCAGCAUGAUCAAUACUCUUUUGCAGGAGUAUAUCUGUACUACCCACUGCAGCUGCAUACAAUAACAAAGCUCAAGCAGAAAUCAAACUUCAGGAUUGGGACAGUGCUUUGCAGGAUUGUGAGAAGGUGCUAGAUAUGGAGCCUGGCAAUGUAAAAGCUCUGUUGCGCCGUGCCACUGUUUACAAUCAGCUGAAGAAUUACCAGGCAGCUAUGAAGGAUCUGAACACAGUAUUAUGCAUUGAACCAGAAAAUGCUGUAGCUAAGGUAAAGAUAAAUGACUUGCAUAUGACUCGAAAAAGGUUGCAGGCAGUUGUAGAAUAGAGUGCUAAUCAUUUAUAUUAUUUGAUUUGAGUCUUAAUUCUGAGGACACAAUUAUCUACUGUGCCAAUGAUCAGUUUCCUGAGACCACUUAGGUGCCCGUGGUAGAAAGUAGGUACCUGAAUGUGACCAAAUCUUCUCGUACUUAGUUGUGAGAACCUGUAGGCGCUGAAGUUUUCUGUAUUAAAGUAAUCUAGGUGCCUGACAUACAGCUGCUGAACAUGCUCACAGUGUUAGUGUAUUGGCUGAAAUUUCUGUCAAAAAGAUCCAUUGGGAUAAAUGUACUUGAAGUUUGAUACGUAAUUCACAAGAAAAAUUCAAAAGAGAUGCCAAACUUCUGUUGUUGUGGUAAAGCUAACCUGAAAGGAGAAGACCUAAGUCCUGUCUUUACAUCAGUGUGUUCAGCGUUAUGAAUCUCAUUUCUCAUCUCCAGGCUAGGAAAAAAAAAACAAACAAACAAAUAAAACCCUUGCAUACUUUUUGGAUAGAGACCUAGGAAAGCAGGAUGCUUAUUUGAAAGCUCAGCGCCAGGAUGUGGUCCUUGUACAAGUACUACUUCAGCUAGUUAGGAGGAGAUUGGUUCUUGUCAUUUCAUUGGUAUUUUCUUACGGUGAUUUACAGCUUGGAACCUAGUCCUAGAAUAUGGGUACCACCUGCCCUGAGAAUUUUCAGUACAAGGCAGUUUUGAUACUAAGCUGCUCUUUGCUUGUCCAUCAUGCUGCUACCCCUCAAUUUUGGGGAAUUGUCUCAUCACGUGAAUUCUGUUUACUUCUUACUGUUGGCACAUUUUAAAACGCUAGCAGCUUGCUGACUGCUUCUUCUUUCUGUGGAGUUACUUGACCACUGCUACUGCUUGCACCAGAAAAGUCAGAGAAGUCUAAGCCUGUAUGUCAAAUUAACAACCUAUUGCAUUCAUGCCUGUUCUUGCAGAUAACUUCCUAGCAAGAACAGUUCACAUUAGUAGUAUGACUAGAUCCAGAGUUUGCAUCAACCAAGGAAUCUACUUACCUGCUUCUUUAUCUUUUCAAACACGUCUGUCUUGAUUUGCCUGCUAAAAGAACUCUUUUGCUUUCUGUUUUCCUCUUUAUAACGCUGAACUUCGAAGUCUAUGCUGACAAACUCCACAAAAGUCUUUGUGCAAAGUCUAUGCUGAGACUUCUUAUAAUGGUAUGCAUUGUGAGUACACUCUUCAGAGAUCAAAAACAGUAGUAGCUCUGCUGAGUAAUGCUUUUCAUUGCUGAAACAGAUGUUGGUCCCUUGUCCCUAUCUGUGCCAGCUCUUAUGCCUUGGCUGAGACAUUUAGAGGUGAUACAGUGCUUGGCAGGACAUGUUUUUUAGUUGCUUUUUGCUUGAAGGAUCCUCAAAACCCUCUUAAGCUAAAUAGGAGAAUGUAGAACACAAAGAAGAUGAAUGUUUGUAUG
RNAcentral lists this long non-coding RNA (2593 nucleotides) under Pavo cristatus (Indian peafowl). Its description in RNAcentral is "lncRNA (ENSPSTG00000006292.1)". Lineage: Eukaryota; Metazoa; Chordata; Aves; Galliformes; Phasianidae. The record is from RNAcentral.